AAUUAUAAAAACAAUUAUUAUAUUAAUAUUAAUUAAUUUAUAAUUUUUAGAUGAAAUUUAAAUUUAUAAAAAAUUAAUUUUAUUUAUAAUAUUUUUUUAAAAAUAUUUUUUAAACUAGGAUUAGAUACCCUAUUAUUUUAAAUUAAAUAAAAUAUUUAAAUAUUAAAUAUUAAAUUAUUAAAUUUAAAAAAAUUGACGGUAUUAUAAAUUUUAGAUGAAUUUAUUUAUAAAUUGAUAAUCCACAAUAAUAAAUACUUUAAAAUUAUAUUUAUAUAUUGUUGUUUAAAUAAUAAAUUUAAAAAUUAAUUUAAAAUAUAAUUUAAAUAAAAAAAUUCAAAUCAUAAUAUAGUUUAUUAAAGGUUAAAUGAAUUACUAUAAUAUAAUAUAAUGAAAAAUAAUUAAAAAAAUUAUUUUAAUAGAAUUUAAUUUUAAAUUUAAAUAAAUAUUAUUUUAAUUGAAAAUUUUAAUUAAUAUGUACAUAUAGCCCGUCAUUUUCAUAAAAUUGAAACAAGUCGUAACAAAGUAAAUAUAUUGGAAUAUGUAUUUAGAAU
This 551-nucleotide ribosomal RNA is filed under the name Therophilus festivus. RNAcentral describes it as "partial 12S ribosomal RNA". Lineage: Eukaryota; Metazoa; Arthropoda; Insecta; Hymenoptera; Braconidae. The record is from RNAcentral.